Molecule: ribosomal RNA, 667 nt
Filed under: uncultured Micromonosporaceae bacterium
Lineage: Bacteria; Bacillati; Actinomycetota; Actinomycetes; Micromonosporales; Micromonosporaceae
Description: bacterial SSU rRNA
Rfam family: Bacterial small subunit ribosomal RNA
Source: RNAcentral
CUUUGGGAUAACCCUCGGAAACGGGGGCUAAUACCGGAUAUUCAUGGUCUGCCGCAUGGUGGGUUGUGGAAAGUUUUUUCGGCUGGGGAUGGGCUCGCGGCCUAUCAGCUUGUUGGUGGGGUGAUGGCCUACCAAGGCUUUGACGGGUAGCCGGCCUGAGAGGGCGACCGGCCACACUGGGACUGAGACACGGCCCAGACUCCUACGGGAGGCAGCAGUGGGGAAUAUUGCACAAUGGGCGGAAGCCUGAUGCAGCGACGCCGCGUGAGGGAUGACGGCCUUCGGGUUGUAAACCUCUUUCAGCAGGGACGAAGCGCAAGUGACGGUACCUGCAGAAGAAGCGCCGGCCAACUACGUGCCAGCAGCCGCGGUAAGACGUAGGGCGCGAGCGUUGUCCGGAUUUAUUGGGCGUAAAGAGCUCGUAGGCGGCUUGUCGCGUCGACUGUGAAAACCCAUGGCUUAACUGUGGGCUUGCAGUCGAUACGGGCAGGCUAGAGUUCGGUAGGGGAGACUGGAAUUCCUGGUGUAGCGGUGAAAUGCGCAGAUAUCAGGAGGAACACCGGUGGCGAAGGCGGGUCUCUGGGCCGAUACUGACGCUGAGGAGCGAAAGCGUGGGGAGCGAACAGGAUUAGAUACCCUGGUAGUCCACGCUGUAAACGUUGGGCGC